Molecule: unclassified non-coding RNA, 510 nt
Filed under: Hevea brasiliensis (rubber tree)
Lineage: Eukaryota; Viridiplantae; Streptophyta; Magnoliopsida; Malpighiales; Euphorbiaceae
Source: RNAcentral
UGCUUUUGUGUGAAAAGGUCUUCUUCGUAUCCCAAUUGACCUCUGAGAAGAAAAGAGGAGAAGUCCCUAUGUCUAGACUGGAAAUUGAGGAUGUCCCAGCAUCAGUUGUGGUGAACGAUGAAUGCUCUGGACUACUUGCUGGAGUCACAUUCGGCACCCGAAUCUCAUUCCAGUGAUCAUCAGACUUUUCACCUAAAUGUUUCGAAGAUGCUUGUGACGUACGGGAGACUUCAGUUUCAGUGUUGGGGGAUCCAAGGAAAUUCAAACGAAGCACUUUUGGUUGAGAGUUUUUCAUCUGAACAAUAUUGCAUUCCAGUUGCUCCAUACAGAUUCUAGCCUCUUUUUUCAUUCUCUUAUCCAAUACCACCCAUCGAGUCUGAACUCUCCUAGCUUCAGCAGCUACUACUCCAGACUGUGAUCCAGAAAUGACUUUGACCUUCACCUUCAUUUUAUUUGGAUCAUAAAUAUCAUGAAGUUGAAGCAACAUUUGAGUACACGAUUCUGAAAUGA